AUUGAAUUUCAUCCGUGAUUUUACGAACAUAUACAGAUAAAAUCCGCGGUUUCGAUUUUAUUGCACACCACUAACCCCGAAAGAUCCAUAAUGUGGGAAAGGCCUUUUCUUUUGUCAAAUGAAACCUAACAUAAAAUUUCAAUUUUAUAAAAAGAUUUGAUAAUUCCGUCCGUAUUCUCGUUUCUUACUCACCACCACCAACUUCCUCCUUCAGUUUCGAAUUCUACCGUCCACCUCCAGCAACACCAUCACCACCAUUACAGAUUUCUUUUUAACAUUAGUUCAGUUCUAUUUUAAUUCAUACCAGUUCAAUUGGAUUUCAGUGCAUGCCAAUUUCGAUUCCGAUAAUCCCCACCAUCACUACCAGCACCAGGUGAUGAAAAGCACGAUCAUUUGAACAAUCUGGAGAACGCAGCUGAUAAUCUACAUCUCUUUAAGGAAGAUUUGCUGGACUACAACAGCCUAUGUGGUGCAAUUGCAGGAUGCAGCAGUGUUCUUUAUGCUGCCAGUGUACAACUCCUGUGUCUGAUCCUGAGGUUAAACUGAUUGAGCCUGCUGUCAAGAGUACGCUUAACGUACUGAAGGAGUGUACCCAGGCUAAAGUGAAGAGGGUUGUGGUUGUGUCAUCUCGUGCUGCUGCUAUUUGGCACCGUAAUUGGCCAAUUGAUCAACCCAUUGAUGAGUCUUGUUGGUAUGACAAGGAACACUUGAAUACCAAUUAAGCAGCUUAUGCACACAUUAUUGAGCUGGCGAGGCGUUGGGAUGAGGAUAGAAGUGAACUCUAUAAAGUGCAACAGCGUAGGAAACUAGAGAAGAAAAAUAAUAAUCUGGAGCUGAAGUGGUUUGUUCCUCAACGGAUCUUAAAGCUCAUCUUCGUAAUUUGAUUACACCUACAGAUUUUAAAGGAACACGAUGAAUCUUCAAAGACAUUGGCUGUUCCUACGGUUUACACGGACAUAAACAGUCACACUAUCUAAUCAAAUCAGUUUUCUGUAACAGAGCAUUUCAGACACGCAAUAGUUGGUCAACCUCAUUCAGUACCCGGUGUAUUCUUCUUUUACGAUUUAUCUCCAAUUAAGCUAUUUGUGGCCUGGCAAACUUCUACGGUAUAGGUACUGGGUAGGACAUCGGUUUAAGGAGCCUAUUCGCUGAUUGUCGUGCAAACUUUAGUUUGUGAACCCAUUUUUGCAGAUGGACUCUUUACAAGGUUGUGGUUCAAGUUCUCAUCCACGUCGAAGCCCAAGGCUAAUUCAGCCAGCUCAACUUGAAGAGCUAACUGAGAGUGACACAAAAAAACAAAGGCAGUUCCCAUUGCGACAUGCUCAAUACAAAGCAAGACAAGAGAGAAUGACAUAACAUGAAAAGGAGGCGCUCAGUAAAAGAAGUCGUCUCAGUCGGACAACAAGUGAUGCAUCAACUGUCCGAUCACAUGACCAUGAAGCCAAUACAAGUAUCAUACCCCAUCGAAGCCCUAGAAUUGAACUGCAACAGAAAGAGCUUCAAUUAGAGAUGCUUCGUAUUGCAAAAAGGGAUAAACAAAGUUCAAUGAGUGAAAAUUAAAAACAGGAGAUCCUUACAAAACGCCGUGAAUCUUAUGCAAUGCAAAGACUAAAAGCUGGUGUUUCAGCAAAUAAUGAGCACAGAGCUGGACCAAGUAGUGAAGAUGAACAACUUUACGGCAACUCAAUCCUCCGAGCCUCGUCGUAGCUCAAGGUUUCUCCAGCAAACUCAGCAGCCUUAUGUUGUGGAUAUCGAAAAAGAAAGAGACUGUCAAGUAUGCAGCAGCAUUCAUUCCACGCCGAAGUCCCAGAUUCACUGAGCAAACUCAAUGUCAAGAUAAUGAACACGCUGCUGAGGCAUCCAGAAGGAGAAAGGGCAAAGCGGUUAUGAUAUGCGAGGUUGUACCUAUUUCUGGUAAUGAUGGAACUGAGAAGGAAACAGAAACACAAACAGCAACUAGCAUUGAGACCGCGAAGGCAUUAUCUAAAGAUUCCAGCGGAGGAGAUUUUAGAAAAAGGCCUCGGAAGGAAACCAGGAGUGAAGUUGUGCGUUGUUGUAUUCCUGUCAAACACGUCUUUAAGAGUUUGACGUUUAGUCUUAGAUCUAAGCAAGAAGUAGAAGAAGAUAGAGUUGCACGACGCGUACGAAAUCAUAUGAACCAAUCUUUGAGGCUACAAGAGUCACUUCUCGCAAGGCGUCGAAGUUCAAGAAUUGAACAAGCUCGACUCAUCCGAGAGAAUCCGAGCUGUGAUGGACUCGUUGAUGUUCCCGUACGCGCUGAUAUACCCUUAACAUUUGCCUCAAGCGGCUUCUUUGAUCUACCAGGAGCAACUUCUUCAAGAGGAAUUAAGAGUUAAGAUAUCCCUCACGUAGACCUAAUACUGCAUGUCAGAGACGAUGCCGUGCAUCCGGUACAAUGCAUCAAAGGAUUGUAAGGCGAGCCAUGAAUAAUCUGCAUCAAAGAAACUAUCAGCAUAGAAAACCCCAAACAAGUAAUGAAGAAAUACGAUCUAAUGCUCAGUUAAGUCCUGCUGUACUAUCUAAUGGACAGAGGUUUAGAAGAGCUGUGCAUGAGAUAAAAUGGGUUUCUUGUGUUGGAUGUAAAACAUCAUUAUAAUGUUUUACUCUCUAUCAUGGGAAACUAACUUAACUUUAUUUGGUUUUUGAGUCGUCUAAGGGGGGUGAGUUGACACCUUAUUAACCAUGAGCGGUACCAGUAGUGAUUUUCCUAGUUAUGAUCCUACUAGUUUGAGCUGAUAGAAAAAUAUUGUCAUUUUGUUCUAGUAUCUUCUUUUUUUUCUUGCUCUAUAAGAAGAUUUCCUUAAACUUAC
Long non-coding RNA from Papaver somniferum (opium poppy), 2831 nucleotides. RefSeq lists it as uncharacterized. NCBI's taxonomy places the organism in Eukaryota, Viridiplantae, Streptophyta, Magnoliopsida, Ranunculales, Papaveraceae. The transcript has 11 exons. The record is from RefSeq and is a predicted model, not a curated record.